This is a ribosomal RNA of 476 nucleotides. The stretch from base 120 to 273 matches the Rfam family "5.8S ribosomal RNA".
ACCUGCGGAAGGAUCAUUAGUGAUUGGCCUCACGGCCCUUUCAUGUCCAACCUCUGUGAACCGUGGCCUCCGGGCCGAUUUAACAACUGUGUGAUGAAUGUGAUCAUUGUAACAAACAAAACUUUCAACAACGGAUCUCUUGGCUCUCGCAUCGAUGAAGAACGCAGCGAAAUGCGAUAAGUAAUGUGAAUUGCAGAAUUCAGUGAAUCAUCGAAUCUUUGAACGCACCUUGCGCCUUUUGGUAUUCCGAAAGGCAUGCCUGUUUGAGUGUCAUGAAAACUUUCAACCCCCGGGUUUCCGGAGGGCUUGGACUUGGGCGCUGCCGCUUGGCUCGCCUCAAACGUGUUAGUGGGAUAAGCUCCCGGCCGACGUGAUAAGUUUCGUCAGCCUGCCGCGAUGCCCGCUCACAACCCCCAUCUUUUUGCUCUGACCUCAAAUCAGGUAGGACUACCCGCUGAACUUAAGCAUAUCAAUAA